RNAcentral lists this ribosomal RNA (450 nucleotides) under Acinetobacter schindleri. Its description in RNAcentral is "bacterial SSU rRNA". It matches the Rfam family "Bacterial small subunit ribosomal RNA", at positions 1034 to 1482 of the family's 1533-position model. The record is from RNAcentral. Lineage: Bacteria; Pseudomonadati; Pseudomonadota; Gammaproteobacteria; Moraxellales; Moraxellaceae.
ACAGGUGCUGCAUGGCUGUCGUCAGCUCGUGUCGUGAGAUGUUGGGUUAAGUCCCGCAACGAGCGCAACCCUUUUCCUUAUUUGCCCAGCGGGUCAUGCCGGGAACUUUAAGGAUACUGCCAGUGACAAACUGGAGGAAGGCGGGGACGACGUCAAGUCAUCAUGGCCCUUACGGCCAGGGCUACACACGUGCUACAAUGGUCGGUACAAAGGGUUGCUACCUCGCGAGAGGAUGCUAAUCUCAAAAAGCCGAUCGUAGUCCGGAUCGCAGUCUGCAACUCGACUGCGUGAAGUCGGAAUCGCUAGUAAUCGCGGAUCAGAAUGCCGCGGUGAAUACGUUCCCGGGCCUUGUACACACCGCCCGUCACACCAUGGGAGUUUGUUGCACCAGAAGUAGGUAGUCUAACCGCAAGGAGGACGCUUACCACGGUGUGGCCGAUGACUGGGGUG